This 65-nucleotide transfer RNA is filed under the name Triatoma dimidiata (kissing bug). RNAcentral's name for it is "tRNA-Ala". It matches the Rfam family "tRNA". Rfam says of the family: Transfer RNA (tRNA) molecules are approximately 80 nucleotides in length. Their secondary structure includes four short double-helical elements and three loops (D, anti-codon, and T loops). Lineage: Eukaryota; Metazoa; Arthropoda; Insecta; Hemiptera; Reduviidae. The record is from RNAcentral.
GGGGAUGUAGUUAAAAAUAACAUCUAAUUUGCAAUUAGAAAGUACUUACUUAAAAGUCUUCCUCA